GCGGAUAUGGCGGAAUUGGUAGACGCAAGGGACUUAAAAUCCCUCGGGGGCGACCCCGUGCCGGUUCGAGUCCGGCUAUCCGCA
RNAcentral lists this transfer RNA (84 nucleotides) under Lachnospiraceae bacterium. RNAcentral's name for it is "tRNA-Leu". It matches the Rfam family "tRNA". Rfam says of the family: Transfer RNA (tRNA) molecules are approximately 80 nucleotides in length. Lineage: Bacteria; Bacillati; Bacillota; Clostridia; Lachnospirales; Lachnospiraceae. The record is from RNAcentral.